CUUCCUCCAGGACCGACCUGCUCAGGCUGGGAGCCCCCCAGGGCUUUGCAGAAGGCGAUGGUGGGAUCUCCCAGAGGUCCUUAUGGCACUGAUCUCUGCCCGUGGAGCUUCUGGUGACAGCACAUUAAAGAGAAGAGCACGGUUCUAAAGCUGUGAAAGUUGGAGACACUUCUUCCCAUCUGCUGACUUCUGUGCAGUGGGUGCUUUGUAAGGAUGUGGAGCUACUAGAUCCAGGCCUUGCUGGGGAAGCUCACUGUUCUGAGGAAGGGUUUAGAUGGAGUCUGAUGAGUUGUGUGCUGACUGAGAGAGGCUUCAGCUGAAAAGCUGGGUGGCUAAUGCCAUUGUCAAGCCUCCGCGGAGCAGUUUGGCCACCUGCUACUCCCUCUGGAUGGCAACAGGAUGCUUACUAGAAGGCUUAUUGGGAAGAGAAUAUGCUUUCAGGAAACCUAUGUGAGUGGGAUUCUCAGGAGAUAACAAUGAACAGUGGUUGGUGGGGGUUUUUGUUUGUUUUUGUUUUUUGUUUUUUUCCCCUAAUAAAUUUCAGCUAAGAAGGCUCUAGGAUUUUUUAAAUUAUUACUAUUAAAGUAUGCCUUGCCUUCUUGCUUAGCACUUUGUCGUAAUUGCCAGACCACAUCGUGUCUUUGGUCUGUGUUGGAUUAAUCUUGAGGGCUGGAUGUGGAACCAGUAGCAGGAUAUGGCCCUAAAAACCAGCAGCCUUUGCUUCUUGCAGGGAAGUGACUAUCUAUGGCAGCCCUUCUACAGGCAGAGUGACACCCUCCACUGAAGGAGAGUGAGCGCAAGGUUUUCCAACAGUUGGGGGGUGGGGCUCAGAAAUCUAUUGUGCAUUCGUUUCCAGUAAAUAUAUUAUGAGCUACCUGGUGUUAUUAGAUCUAAUCACAAGAGUUUUCCUCUUAAAGCUGUGGCUGGAUUUAUGUUGAUCACUUUAAAACAAAUGUCACAGAUAUAUUUAAUAGAAGUAUGUGUAAAACCCCAACCCCCAAAUGGUAUUAUGUAACCCAUACAGUAUUUAAGUGCCCCCUGUGUAAACUAACUGAAAAGCCUGCUGUUUGCCUUCUUUGCCUCUGUUGUGUAUCUGUCAACCAAAGCCAGGCACGCUGUUUGCUGUUCUGAUUACUAUUUUAAAAGGCCAGAUCCAUAGGAUCAUGUUUUCUAGAAAGUGAAAAAGACUUAAACUCCAUUUUCUGGGCUUAGAGGGCUCUGGGGCUGAGUGAGAGUCCUCUCAUGGGCUGCCCAGAGUGAAUUGCCAAGCAAGCUUGUGCUGUUUGAAAGCAUGCACACACAAUGUACUUUGUCCUUUUAUUUUGGCAUGGUCAGGGCAGUCCUUCUCAGUGGCUUCACAACAGCCUCAGCCAUGGGGUUCAGCUAAGCUCAGCAAAGGUGAAGAUGUGUGAGGUCAUGGAGGUGGUGGAAGAUGGUGAUACAUGUCUAAAGAUGGAAUCAGGUGAAAACUAAGAGGUGGAUUUCCUCUUGCUUUUAGCCAAACAGCGUUUGCAGGCUUUCCCCCUAAUUCAUUGUUAUUUAUCUGCCAUCAGCUCCUUGCCCAGUCAAGUCCUUUAUUCAAGGUGCUGGAUCUCAGGAGCACAGUGGUUUCCCAUUAUUGUUAUAGUCUUUAGCCAAAGAGAUGUCCCUCUUUCUCAGUAAUGCACCAAAGUGGAAGUAAUCACUCUUUUUUUCUUCUUGCAUUUGUCCUUUCCUGUUUCAUUCACCAAUUGAAAAAUGGCUAAAGAGCAGCCCCCAUUUCACCUCCCCUUUUCCGUGAUUGACUCAGCAGCUCCUGGGACAGAGAGAGGAAAGGGGCCUCGAGGUCACAACCUUCACAAUCUUCAAAGCCCCUGCCGCUUCCAGCAGCUGUCACAGCUCUCACUGACCAUAUCCCCAGAAGGUCAGCAAAAAAAUAAACACUGGGGCCCGAAUUAUCCCCUUCUCAUGCAAACUGUCCAUUUCCCUCCCCAGCUCCCAUUCCAUGCAUAGCUCACACAUUGGAGACCCCCUUGGAUUUGCACAGAGCUAUGCAAGAGCAAAAUGCCACAGAAAAGAAAAGCAGAAGGGCUUCCUGGGCAGGCAGAGUGGGAAAAAGAAAAGCAGCUUCCUGAGCUUUCCAUGCCCACCCACAGGCUGCUGCAGCCAUUUUGUGUUCGCAAAGCCUGGAGGUGAAGCUGGGGAAGGGGCUGACUUUUCCCUGGGAGACUGCAGGGAAGCAUUCAGCUUUUAUAUCUGCUUGUGCAUGUGAGAGAUGGAAGAAAGAGAGAAUCCAACAGAAAUAGGAAAUUAAGCAUGGACUGGAAAAGCCUUUCAUCGGGAUUAGAUUGCAUCCCCCUCCUCCAGCUUUCUGCACUCACCUUCCUCUGCAAAAACUCAUGAUGAAGCAGGAACAGGGCCCCGAAGUGCAGGUUCAAAAGGCCAGAGUGGAAAGGUCCUUUGCUAAAGGAAAUAGCCCUCCCCAGCCUUCUUUUAUAGAAGUAUCCAUUUCACCAUGGCCACUAAUAAUCAGAGGACUAUUUCCUGGCCUUCCCAGCACAGCUCCCAGCCACACCACCAGUCUGAUGUCCAUUACUGUAAACAGCUCACCCAAUUCUCCCCUCAGCCCCGCUGCUCAACCCGGCACAGGGACAUGCUUCGAGCCUGUUUUUUAGGCUGCGUGGCUAAGGAAGACACUCAUCUUCCAUUUUCACCCACUUCCCACAAAGAACAAGCGGGCUAUUAGCACGCUGGACGACCCGACAAAAACCCGUCGAGGGGCCGCCGCUGGGGAGGCAGGAGGGGCUGGAGACCUGCAAGAAAACCCGCCCGGAAGAAAAGGCAGUGACGGGAACGUGGGAAGGCACUUUAUUUACGCGGAUGGCCAAGGCCGGACUGCUCUCCUAGCACUGCGCGUUCCGACAGAGCGAGCAGCGCGGCGACCCCCGCCCCGCUCGAGUGGCUCUUGGGGGCCCGGCGGGACGGCCCGUCUCUUCCCCGGCCGCUGUUACACCGGCUGGGCCCGGCUCUCGCCGCUCCCCGGCGCACUGACGCCCUUUCAUUAUUGCACUGCUCGCUGCGACCGUGACAGUAGUGCAACAGGGAAAGAGGGGCAGCCCGCCCGGUGGCCCUGGCCGCCGGACUGGGGCACGGAGGGAGAGCCCGGGCUUUGAGGUGGGGGGGGGAUUGCCUGGCUUUGUCCCUUAGCUGGUCGCCUCCCCUCGGAGUGAUGCCCGGGGGGUUACGUAGAGGGCAGGGCCGGGGUCGGGCGAGCAGGCGGGAGGCAGCGGUCCUGUAGGGCUUCUCGCCCUCCCGCGCCCACCACCGCGGAGAGAACACGGCCCCGCGCUGCCCGGAGAG
Molecule: long non-coding RNA, 3339 nt
Organism: Gallus gallus (chicken)
Lineage: Eukaryota; Metazoa; Chordata; Aves; Galliformes; Phasianidae
Source: Ensembl